RNAcentral lists this ribosomal RNA (443 nucleotides) under uncultured bacterium. Its description in RNAcentral is "partial 16S ribosomal RNA". It matches the Rfam family "Bacterial small subunit ribosomal RNA", at positions 28 to 507 of the family's 1533-position model. The record is from RNAcentral.
GAUGAACGCUGGCGGCAUGCCUAACACAUGCAAGUCGAUCGGUAAGGCUCUUCGGAGUUCACGUGAGGCGGACGGCUGAGUAACGCGUAGGAACACACCCUGCAGUGAGGGAUAAGACACCGAAAGGUGUUCUAAUACCGCAUACGGUCUUCGGAUUAACGCAUUUAUGCGCUGAAGGAGUGGCCUGCGUCAUAUUAGAUAGUUGGUGAGGUAAUGGCUCACCAAGUCGAGGAUGUGUAGCUGGUCUGAGAGGAUGAUCAGCCAGACUGGAACUGAGACACGGUCGAGACUCCUACGGGAGGCAGCAGUGAGGAAUAUAGCACAAUGAGCGAAAGCAUGAUGGAGCAAUGCCGCGUGCAGGAUGAAGGCCCUCGAGUAGUAAACUGCUUUUAUAAGAGAAGAUUAUGACGGUAACUUAUGAAUAAGGGACGGCUAACUACGUG